UCUCCGUUGGUGAACCAGCGGAGGGAUCAUUACCGAGUUUACAACUCCCAAACCCCUGUGAACAUACCUAUCGUUGCCUCGGCGGUGCCCGCUCCGGCGGCCCGCCAGAGGACCCCCAAACUCUUGUUUCAUACAGUAUCUUCUGAGUAACACGAUUAAAUAAAUCAAAACUUUCAACAACGGAUCUCUUGGUUCUG
RNAcentral lists this unclassified non-coding RNA (197 nucleotides) under plant metagenome. Its description in RNAcentral is "partial contains small subunit ribosomal RNA, internal transcribed spacer 1, and 5.8S ribosomal RNA". The record is from RNAcentral.